This 500-nucleotide ribosomal RNA is filed under the name uncultured bacterium. RNAcentral's name for it is "bacterial SSU rRNA". It matches the Rfam family "Bacterial small subunit ribosomal RNA", at positions 30 to 504 of the family's 1533-position model. The record is from RNAcentral.
CGAACGCUGGCGGCGUGCCUAACACAUGCAAGUCGAACGAGAAAGCGGGCUUCGGCCCGUGAGUACAGUGGCAGACGGGUGAGUAACACGUGGGUAAUCUGCCCGGAGGUGGGGGAUAACCCUCCGAAAGGAGGGCUAAUACCGCAUAACACCCGCGAGGUUUCGGCCUUGCGGAUCAAAGCUGGCCUCUAUUUAUAUGCUGGCGCCACCGGAGGAGCCCGCGGCCCAUUAGCUUGUUGGUGAGGUAACGGCUCACCAAGGCUACGAUGGGUAGCCGGCCUGAGAGGGCGAUCGGCCACACUGGAACUGAGACACGGUCCAGACUCCUACGGGAGGCAGCAGUGAGGAAUUUUGCGCAAUGGGGGAAACCCUGACGCAGCGACGCCGCGUGUAGGACGAAGGCCUUCGGGUCGUAAACUACUGUCAAGUGGGACGAAUUUCGUCGGAAUGAAUAAGUCCGGCGGUUGACGGUACCACUGAAGGAAGCCCCGGCUAACUCC